ACAUAGGUUAUUUAUAUUACAUACCUACGUGUGUAUGGUUACUAUCACCUAGACAACAACUUUUAAAAAAGAAUAAUAAAUGUUUAAUACAGCCUAUAGGCUUAUAUAAUAUGUUAUACAUAUAUUAACAUAUCAAAAAUGUGUCAAUCACCUUUUGAUUAUAGCCACACGUUGAUGUACAUUACAUUCUUCUUCCCUCGAAUUUAUUUUUGUUUGUAGGUUAUUCGAAUCGUGUCGUUUGAACUUAGCAUACUUGCAUUAUUAAAUUUAAUGACAACCGACAUUUAAAUAAUAUAUAAUUAUAAAUGAUUUUUUUUACAAUAUUUUAAAAAAUUAUUUAAAAUGGUUUAAGUGUUUAAUAUAUAUUACAAGAGGUAACUCAAGCAUAUUAUUCACAUAGAAUUACACAGUAAUUUUUACUUAGCAGUUCACGUAUAGAUGACAGUAGACACACAAAGUAUUGAACACAUAGGUAGACAAUUUUUGAAGAUUAUAUAAUGGAAUCUGAAAGUAUUAAAAUUGUAAAAUAUUUGUUAUACAUCUUUAAUGUGAUAUACGGGAUUACAGGAGUGGCUUUAAUAGUAACUGGCAUCAUCGUAAUUGCAGAUUUAGGACGUUUUUCAAAUUAUUUAAAUUUUUCAAUUAUUGCGCCACCAAUAUUGUUUAUUAUAUUAGGUAUAUGCGUAAUAGUAUCGAGUAUAUUUGGAUUUUAUUGUAUUAACAAAGAAAAUUUCAAUUUAUCAAUAGUGUUUACAUUAAUUUUACUAACGGUUCUGGUAAUCGAAGUAUUAUUAUCUAUUAUGUCAUCAGUAUCCAAAGAAAAUUUUAAUAAUGAUUUAAGAUUUUCUCUAAAAACGUCUAUGGGAAAAUAUUCGUUUGAAGAAACUCAUCGGAAUUCGUGGUCUACGAUUCAACGAAAACUAGAAUGUUGUGGAGUUGAUACACCUAGAGAUUGGUCAAUUAUAUUUCCAGAAAAUCUAGUUCCUGUUUCAUGUUGUCAAAAUUUACCAGUUGAAUUAGGUGCAUUAUGCAGGAAUUUAUUUGAUGAAAGAAUAAUUUAUCAAAAAGGAUGUUAUAACGGAUUAAAUAAUCGAGUGAGAUCUAGAUUAACCAUUAUAAUGUAUAUUGCCUUAGCAUUUGGUCUUUUCCAGGUGGUUGGGAUUGUGUUAGCUUGUUUUUAUACGUAUUUAUUGAAAAACGGUCAAGGAAGCAAGUAAGAUAAUUAUAGUUUUUUUUUUAAAUGAGAAGUUGUAAAAUUGCUGUACAUAUACUCAUCAUACAACUUGUACAUAAAACAAGUAGAAAUUCACACAAUUUUAUUCAAAACAGAUGACAUCAAGAUGAUGUAGGAUUUGAUACAAAUUAUUUAAACAAAUCCUACAACCAAAAUACAUAUUCACGUGACAUGUUAAGUCGUAAAGAUCAAUUAAGCAAUUUAUUAGAUGCAUUAAGAAAACAAAGAAAAAAAAUGAAUUUUUAAAGGUGUUUACGUCUUAUUUCUUUUUCAUAAUCCUUAUAAAUGUAUAAAAUAUUAUCUUCUAAUUUGUACUAUUUAUUUAA
This is an RNA transcript of Melanaphis sacchari, 1560 nucleotides long. It is a transcript of the gene named tetraspanin-9-like, with no coding region annotated. Lineage: Eukaryota; Metazoa; Arthropoda; Insecta; Hemiptera; Aphididae. The transcript has 7 exons. The record is from RefSeq and is a predicted model, not a curated record.